This 1333-nucleotide long non-coding RNA is filed under the name Anser brachyrhynchus (Pink-footed goose). RNAcentral describes it as "lncRNA (ENSABRG00000017213.1)". Lineage: Eukaryota; Metazoa; Chordata; Aves; Anseriformes; Anatidae. The record is from RNAcentral.
AUGGUAUACACAGGACUUGAAUUAUACAUAUGCAAGCUGGGAGCGCUUCGAAGAUGCAGCCAGCCAGAACAGACACCGUGCCUCACGGAGUGCUUCCCCACUCACAUCCUACCUGCAGGUCCAAAAAAGUUCCCUGUGGAAGUGGAUGGGACGACUGCCAUCCUGCAGCCAGGCUGCGUCGACCUUGUACAGAGCUCAGCCAGUGAAGCCCGUUACUGUCAGAGAGCUGCUCACCACCAGCUUGUAGAAUUUCCAAGAAAAGAAGUGUAUGGUCCACGCUGUCCUAUCUCCAUCAGUCCAUUUGAAAAAGAACUUGUGAUUUACAGUGGAUAAUGAAAGACAUGUCAGAGUCACCCAGGCUCUUCUGUAGUCUCACAGACCGUUGUUCCAGGACCUGGGAGCAAAGGCCAUGGCAUCCAUUCCUCAGAUUCCCAAUGUUGUGCACAAAAAUUAAACAUCAUAUAUAUAUUUAAAAAUUGGCUUUAAAACCCCUUCAAGAAGCCAAAAAUAAUACAGAAAAGGAGAGCUUUAUUUUUCUUUCUGUCUGUUCAUUCUAUGUCUCAUGAUAAGAAGAGGAAAAUCUUUUGUUGGAUUCUGCAGCAAUGUUUUGGCCAACAGUGUUAAUUGUUUUCUUUACUUUUAAUGAAACAAACUGCCUUGGGCUGAAGCUGAAUCUCUCUAAGCCACACAAGUGAAGAUUAACUUCUUGUCCUUCCUCUUUUGCAAAACUGUCAGAAAAAUAUCACUUCCCUUUUCCAUUUCCUCCUUAAAAUGUUGUACACCUCCUUGCUCAGCAUCCUUCUCAGUUCAGAGCUAGAGAGACACACAGCAGAGUCACAGCUUCGUUUGCCUGGACCAAUGCAAAAGGACAGGACAUUCCCACUGCAUUUGAAGCAAGAUUGCUCUCAAGGUUCACACACCAAGCAGAAGAUCUUUUCUCAUUUCAGAAGAGGAGCCAGGAGCAGAUCAUUUGAUGAGCUGAUAUUAGGAACUGGUAGCAGCGCAACAGGCUGAUGCCACUGUAGUACCGUCUGUGAAGUCUUUUAACAUGCUAGCAUUCACUUUUUUAAAGCUCCUUCCUACACAAUAGCACACAAUCCUUCAGCUUUUUCACUCAGUAAUCCAUUGUAAGCUAACUGGAAAAAAAAAUAGAAAAAAUAUUGGGAAGCUCUACAGCAGAAGUGCUGUGAGUCUUGUAGACUGGACUGCACUCAGGCAGAUGCUAAGUGGGCUAAAGACAGUAUUGCUUGCAAGAAAGUUCCAUAAAGUGAUCAGACUGGGAUCAUCAAACAACCUGUGGCAUCCAAGAGAACACUGCUAAUAUCCCAUGAUU